Lytechinus pictus (painted urchin) is the source of this 256-nucleotide long non-coding RNA. RefSeq lists it as uncharacterized. The transcript has 2 exons. NCBI's taxonomy places the organism in Eukaryota, Metazoa, Echinodermata, Echinoidea, Temnopleuroida, Toxopneustidae. The record is from RefSeq and is a predicted model, not a curated record.
CAGUGCGAGAACAAUCGCAAUUAAUUCAGCCCUAUAGGAGGACGUGAAAUUCGAUAGUCUUUUGCCUUGGUAACAGGAAAAAUAAGAAAACCAUACUGCACAAUCAUCAGCAUAUAUGGAUAAUGUCACUUCAGGAUCAAUUGGAAUAUCUCUCAUCAUGACAUUAUAUAGAAGGGGACUCAGAACACUCCCCUGGGGGAGUCCGUUAUGGAUUUGAAAUGUUCUGGAUUCAGUAUUUGUAACUCUUACCUGAAAG